This 3320-nucleotide long non-coding RNA is filed under the name Callithrix jacchus (white-tufted-ear marmoset). Its description in RNAcentral is "lncRNA (ENSCJAG00000082808.1)". The record is from RNAcentral. Lineage: Eukaryota; Metazoa; Chordata; Mammalia; Primates; Cebidae.
CCUCCUUUUUCUGCGUGGCAGUUGCUGCAUGGCAGUUGCAACCCUCCUUUUUUUGAGUGGCAGUUGAAAAAUGAAAGUACCUCUUGGUCCCCUCCCACAACCAACCAGACUUGAGGGCCUACUUUUCAUUCUGGUCCCCUCCCACAACCAAUCAGACUGGGCAUGGGCCAAUGGGAAACCUCUAGAGGGCAUUUAAGCCCCAGAAAAUUCUGUAGCUAUUGCUCUUGAGCCAUUAGCUUGAUCCUACUUCUGCUCUGUGGAGUAUACUUUCAUUUAAAAUAAAUCUCUGCUUUUCUUGCCUUGUGUGUUUUGUCCAGUUCUUUGUUCAAAACACCAAGAACCUAAACAACUAUGCUCAACUGGUAACACAUUUUGGUGAGCCAGCAAGGAGGUAAGCCCAAAGUUUGGGAUUUGGUUUUACUGUUUCCUCUUUCUCUCUCUUUUUCCUUUUCAAGCUGGGAUUCUUGAUGGACACUGUGCCUAAGCAUGGAGGCAACUGCAGGUUUCUGGCCAGGGUCACUCUCUGGUGAAAAUGAAAGGUCCAUGUGGAAACACCUGACUGCCACCACCUGGUUCAGGGUCUUGCACUGUCACCUACGCUGGAGUACAGGGAUGUGACCUCAGCUCACUGCAACCUCCACCGCCAGGCUCAAGAAAGCUUCUCAUCUCAGCCUCCCAAGGAGCAGGAACUACAAGUGCACACCACCAGGCCAAUCUAUCUAUCUAUAUUUAUCUAUAUCUAUAUCUAUAUCUAUAUCUAUAUCUAUAUCUAUAUCUAUAUCUAUAUCAUCUAUAUCAUCAUCUAUAUCUAUCAUCUAUAUCUAUAUCUACAUCGAUAUCUAUAUUUUUUUAAACUAGAGACAGGAUUUCAUCACAUUGCCUAGGCUGAUCUUGAACCUUUGACCUCAAGUAAUUCACCUGCCUUGGCCUCACAAAGUGCUAGAAUUACAGGUAAGAGCCACCAUGGCCAGCAAAAAAUUCAGAAUUCUAUCAGAUAAAGUUAACAAAGAUAUUAAAAUAUAAGAAUAACACAGAAAUUGUUGAGUUAAAUAUGCAGUCUACAUGAUGAAGAAUGCAUCAGAGUCUCUUAAUAGAAUUAAUCAAACAGAAGAAUCAAUGAGCUUGAAGAUAAGCUAUUUGAAAAUAUAGUCAGAGGAUACAAGAGAAAAAAGAACAAAAACAAAGAAGCAUGCUUACAAGAUCUAGAAAAUAGCCUCUAUAAAAGUUAUUGGCCUUACAGAGGUGGUAGAGAAAGAGAUAGGGGUAGAAAGUUUACUCAAAGGAAAACUAUCAGAGAACUUCCCAAACCUAGAGAAAGAUAUCAACACUCGAAUACAGGAAGGUUAUAGAACACCAACCAGACUUAACUCAAAGAAGACUACCUCAAGGCAUUUAAUAGCCAAACUCCCAAAAGUCAAGGAUAAAGAAAAUAUCCUAAAAGCAGCAAGAGAAAAGAAACAACAUACAAUGGAGCUCCAAUACGUCUGGCAGCAGACUUUUCAAUGGAAACCUUACAGGCUGGGAGAGAAUGGCAGACAUGUUUAAAUUGCUGAAAGAAAAAACUUUUGGCUGGGCAUGGUGGCUCAUGCUUGUAAUCCCAGCACUUUGGGAGGCCAAGGUGGGCAGAUCACCUGAGGUCAGGAGUUUAAGACCAGCCUGGCCAACAUGGUGAAACCUCAUCUCUACUAAAAAUAAAAAAUUAGCCUGUAUUCCCAGCUAGUCGGGAGGCUGAGGCAGAAGAAUCGCUUGAACCUGGGAGGCAGAGAUUACAUUGAGCCAAGAUCACAUCACUGCACUCCGGCCUGGGUGACAGAGUGAGAUUCUGUCUCAAAAAAAGAAAAAAAAAAAGAGAAAACUUUUAUUCUAGAGUAGUAUAUAGGGCAAAAAUAUCCUUCAAGCACAAAGGAGGUACAGACCGUCCAAUACAAAUGUAAUGAGGGAUUUCAUCAACACAAAACCUGUCUUAUCAGAAAUGGUAAAAGGAGUUCUUCAAUCUGAAAGGAAAGGGUGUUAAUGAGCAGGAAGAAAUCAUAUGAGGGCACAAAAGUCAGUGGUUUUAGUAAGCCUAUAGAAAGACACAGAAAAGUAUAACAUCAUAAUUGUGGUGUGUGUAAACUUUUCUUGGCUUAAGUAGAAAGACUAAAUGAUGAAUCAAUAAAAAAUAAGAGCUACAACAACUUUUUUAAGGGGUAGACAAUACAGUAAGACAUAUAGAGAAACAAUGAAAAGUUAAUAGGAGGAAUGAAGUUAAAGCGUAGAAUUUUUAUUGUAUUUUUGUAUAUUUGUUUCUUUGUUUAUGCAAUAACUUAAGUUGUUAGUUUAAAAUAAAAUAGAAUUUGCAAGUAUUAUGGUAACCUCAAAUCAAAAAACAUACAAUGGAUACAUAGAAAAUAAAAAGCAAUAAAUUAAAGCAUACAACUAGAGAAAAUUAUCCUCACUAAAAGAAAAACAGGAGAAAAGAAAAAAAGAAAAGACUAGAACAACCAGAAAACACUAACAAAAUGUCAGGCAUAAGUCCCUACUUGUCAAUAAUAACAUUAAAUGAAAAUGGAUUAAACUCCCCAGUCAAAGACAUAGAGUGGCUGAAGAGAUUAAAACACAGGAUCCAACAAUCUGUUGCCUACAAGAAACACACUUCAUCAAUAAAGACACACAUAGACUGAAAAUAGAGAAAUUGGAAAGGAUAUUCCAUGCAAAUGGAAACCAAGAAUGAGCAGGAGUACUUAUAUUUAUAUCAGACAAAAUAGAUUUCAGGACAAAAACUGUAGGAAGAGACAAAGAAGGUCAUUAUAUAAUAAUAAAGGGAUCAAUUCAGCAAACAAAUAUAACUAUUGUAAAUAUAUAUGCAUCUAAUACUGGAGCACCCAGAUGUAUACAGCAAAUAUUAUUAGAGCUAAAGAGAGAGAUCAACUCCAAUACAAUUAUUGCUGGAGACUGCAACAUUGAACUUUCAGCGCUGGACAGAUCUCUGGACAGAUCUCCCAAACAGAAAAUCAACAAAGAAUCUUCGGACUUACUCUAUACUAUAGAACAAAUAGACCUAUAGUUAUUUACAGAAUAUUUAUUCAACAACGGCAGAAUAUACAUUUUUGUCCUCAGCACGUGGAUCAUUCUCAAGAAUAGACCAUAUUUUAGGUCACAAAACAAGCCUUAAAACAUUCUAAAAAUUGGAAUAAUACAAAACAUCUUCACUGACCACAAUGGAAUAACACUACAAAUCAAUAAGAGAAAUUUUAGAUACUAUACAAACACAUGGAAAUUAAACAAUAUGCUCCUGAAUGAUUAGUGGAUCAAUGAAGAAAUUAAGAAGAAAAUUGCAA